Molecule: ribosomal RNA, 471 nt
Filed under: uncultured bacterium
Lineage: Bacteria
Description: bacterial SSU rRNA
Rfam family: Bacterial small subunit ribosomal RNA
Source: RNAcentral
AACGCUGGCGGCGUGCUUAACACGUGCAAGUCGAGCGAUGAAGUUCCUUCGGGAAAUGGAUUAGCGGCGGACGGGUGAGUAACACGUGGGUAACCUGCCUCAUAGAGGGGAAUAGCCUUUCGAAAGGAAGAUUAAUACCGCAUAAGAUUGUAAUGGUCGCAUGACAUAGCAAUUAAAGGAGUAAUCCGCUAUGAGAUGGACCCGCGUCGCAUUAGCUAGUUGGUGAGGUAACGGCUCACCAAGGCGACGAUGCGUAGCCGACCUGAGAGGGUGAUCGGCCACAUUGGACUGAGACACGGCCCAGACUCCUACGGGAGGCAGCAGUGGGGAAUAUUGCACAAUGGGGGGAAACCCUGAUGCAGCAACGCCGCGUGAGUGAUGAAGGUCUUCGGAUUGUAAAGCUCUGUCUUUAGGGACGAUAAUGACGGUACCUAAGGAGGAAGCCACGGCUAACUACGUGCCAGCCGCAGC